This 521-nucleotide ribosomal RNA is filed under the name uncultured bacterium. RNAcentral's name for it is "partial 16S ribosomal RNA". It matches the Rfam family "Bacterial small subunit ribosomal RNA", at positions 899 to 1397 of the family's 1533-position model. The record is from RNAcentral.
ACUCAAAUGAAUUGACGGGGGCUCACACAAGCGGUGGAGCAUGUGGCUUAAUUCGAGGCUACGCGAAGAACCUUAUCCUGGGCUUGACAUGUGCGAAAGCGGCAGGAAGUAGCCCGCGGAAACGUGGGGCCAACGGUAUCCAGUCCGGAACCUGCUACAGGUGCUGCAUGGCUGUCGUCAGCUCGUGUCGUGAGAUGUCGGGUUAAGUCCCAUAACGAGCGAAACCCUUGCCCUUAGUUGCCAGCGGGUCAUGCCGGGAACUCUAAGGGGACUGCCGGUGUUAAACCGGAGGAAGGCGGGGAUGACGUCAAGUCCUCAUGGCCUUUAUGCCCAGGGCUGCACACGUGCUACAAUGCGGCAUACAAAGGGAAGCAAACCCGCAAGGGGGAGCCAAUCUCAAAAACUGCCGCCCAGUUCAGAUCGCGGGCUGCAACUCGCCCGCGUGAAGUUGGAAUCGCUAGUAAUCGCGGAUCAGCAACGCCGCGGUGAAUGUGUUCCUGAGCCUUGCACACACCGCCCGU